This 404-nucleotide long non-coding RNA is filed under the name Marmota monax (woodchuck). Lineage: Eukaryota; Metazoa; Chordata; Mammalia; Rodentia; Sciuridae. The record is from RNAcentral.
UUUUUUUGCUUUACAUUUUUCUUCCCCACUAGCCAUUGGGCAAACCCUGCCACAUCCAAAGAGUAACUCAUUUUUAAAGCGCCAUUAGGGUGCAGGUCCAGGAGAUUUCUCAGCUUCAGUGUCUCCGCUGAAAAGGCAGGCAAGAUCAGUGGUGGAGAAUCCACCUCAUCCCCACUGUCCUGCCAGGGGCAGAGCAGGUGAGAUCACCCAGCAGGUAAAGGACCUGGGGAAGCCUGGACACCUGCUGACCUCAGAGCCAGGGCACACGACCUUCCUUGGCUUUUUUCCUUGGAGGGUGGCCUCCCUUCUUGCCUUCAGCUACUCAGUUUCACAGCCAGCUGAGCAGAGGGGGUGCUCAGAGGGGUGGAGCUCUGCAGGAUUGGGCCUUGAAGGCUUGGUCCAAC